ACGGAGCAGCAGGGAACAUCUCCCUUCAGCCAGUGAGGUUAAUGAGGCGACACACAAAAACAGGAGGAAGGACGCUAGAUUGGAAAUCAUUAGUUUUCCGGAAGCUCCUGGAAGAGAGAUUUAAAACCUUCUCUGAAGGACAUGGGUCCCAGUGUUUCCCAGAAUUCAUCUUCCACUUACAAUAAUAACAGUGAAGAAAGCUUCCUUUGAAAAUAAAUGUUUUAAGUAAAGCAGCGAAACCACUUAAAAUAUUAAUAAGAAAAAUCAAGAUGAGGUGUGCACCCGAUGCCUGGGCCAGGUGGGACACACGAAAGAGGACCAACGGUGCUUCAGGGUGCAGACCAACCAUCCCUCCCUCGAGCCAGGCAUGACCUCAGUGCCGGGCUCCGGAUCCCAAAGCCCGCUCCGUUUCAUCCUGGUCACCCCACAAUGAGGAGGAUCUCCGCCACAAAGACGCUGUCGACCUGGGUGCGGGGAAUGCUCUCUGCGCCCCUGCUGCUCCCAACAACCCUUCCGGGCGGAGUGACCUGGGAGCCUUUUUCCGCCCUCGCAGGUCCUCCCCGGAAGUGCAGCCCCUCGCGCCGGAAGUACUUCCUCAACUCCCCUCAGCGCCGGCCAGACGAGGGCGGUGCCUGAGCCAACGCCGCUUCCUGUUUCCGAACGCGCUGUUCCGAGUGGCCCGAGAGGCUGGGCUGGAGGCCACCGACCGCCCUUCCACCGCGCACAGUCUCACCACCUCCCCGGGGGCGCUCUCUGCUCUGACAAUCCUCCGUGUUCCCGGAGGAUGCCCGCGCGUGGUCCGGGCCCUUACCUCCCCGGUGGGUUCUCAUGCCCGCGGGACCCCUGAUAGCGUGGGGCCGCAGGACUCAGCUCGGGACCUCUAAGCACGCCGGACGGUGCGAGCUCUGGCAGCGGCUCCAGGGGGCACAGCGCCGUGGAGGGCGCCCCCUGGUGGGGUAACGCCGAGGGCUCCCCGGGACGGCGGGCAACUGCGCCCCCUGGUGGCGGUCGGAGCCUCAGGCACCUUCGUCGUCUCUACAGUGUUCGUUACACUGUUGCUCAAAUGAUGGUUUCAGGAGAUAAAAACUGCAGCAGAAAAAGGAAGACCACAGGAAAGCAGCCCAGAGUGAAACGCAUUGGAAAUGCUAGAUUCCAGAGCAACUCGAUGUGCCAGUGCUGCUGACUGAUAUGGAGGAACAGAUAUUUUCAAUACAUCACUUGGAAGUUAGUUGUGGAAUCUGACGUGGAUCCUACAAACUGUCUUCUCUUGACAGUUGCCUUAUAACAUGGCAUUGCCUUAAAGAGUAAUUCUCUCCGAUCCAAGGUUAAGCGGGAAGCUCCUCAACUGCAAUUAAAUGGAUUUUGAAAAAUGGAAAUUUCUUUUGCACUUGCAUCAAAGUCCAGAAAUAUGCUGCUGGAACUGUAGUUUGAGCUCAGAAGAUACAUCUACUAUAAAUUGGUGUGGCAAUGAAUGACUCCACUUCUUACUAACUUUGGACAGCAUAGGAAGUAUGUAAAAUAGUUUGGCAUUACUUGUGAUUCAAACAACGUUAGCUGUCUUUGAAAUAACUUGACUGCAUGUAAGUCUCAC
Equus caballus (horse) is the source of this 1591-nucleotide long non-coding RNA. NCBI's taxonomy places the organism in Eukaryota, Metazoa, Chordata, Mammalia, Perissodactyla, Equidae. The record is from Ensembl.